GGGCGGUUCCCCCUUCCGGGGGGACAGGGUGACGAGGUGGUGCAUGGUUGUCGUCAGCUCGUGUCGUGAGAUGUUGGGUUAAGUCCCGCAACGAGCGCAACCCUCGACCUUAGUUGCCAGCAUUCAGUUGGGCACUCUAAGGUGACUGCCGGCUAAAAGUCGGAGGAAGGUGGGGAUGACGUCAAAUCAUCAUGCCCCUUAUGACCUGGGCUACACACGUGCUACAAUGGGCGGUACAAAGGGUCGCGAACCCGCGAGGGGGAGCCAAUCCCAAAAAGCCGCUCUCAGUUCGGAUUGCAGGCUGCAACUCGCCUGCAUGAAGCCGGAAUCGCUAGUAAUCGCGGAUCAGCAUGCCGCGGUGAAUACGUUCCCGGGCCUU
This 379-nucleotide ribosomal RNA is filed under the name uncultured Anoxybacillus sp. RNAcentral's name for it is "bacterial SSU rRNA". It matches the Rfam family "Bacterial small subunit ribosomal RNA", at positions 1007 to 1382 of the family's 1533-position model. The record is from RNAcentral. Lineage: Bacteria; Bacillati; Bacillota; Bacilli; Caryophanales; Anoxybacillaceae.